This 28-nucleotide ribosomal RNA is filed under the name Medicago monspeliaca. RNAcentral's name for it is "partial 28S ribosomal RNA". The record is from RNAcentral. Lineage: Eukaryota; Viridiplantae; Streptophyta; Magnoliopsida; Fabales; Fabaceae.
GUUUUGCAGCGCUCGUGAUGAGACCUCA